This 232-nucleotide ribosomal RNA is filed under the name uncultured bacterium. RNAcentral's name for it is "partial 16S ribosomal RNA". It matches the Rfam family "Bacterial small subunit ribosomal RNA", at positions 524 to 755 of the family's 1533-position model. The record is from RNAcentral.
UACGUAGGGUGCGAGCGUUGUCCGGAAUUACUGGGCGUAAAGAGCUCGUAGGUGGUUUGUCGCGUUGUCCGUGAAAACUCACAACUCAAUUGUGGGCGUGCGGGCGAUACGGGCAGACUGGAGUACUGCAGGGGAGACUGGAAUUCCUGGUGUAGCGGUGGAAUGCGCAGAUAUCAGGAGGAACACCGGUGGCGAAGGCGGGUCUCUGGGCAGUAACUGACGCUGAGGAGCA